GUAUCCCUCACUUUCUCUCUCUCUCGUAAACCAUUUUUUCUCAUAUGUGCGGCAACCAUUUCUCCUUCACUGUUCUGGUUCAUAAUUUUCUUCUUUCUUCACCAAGAAUCAAACAAUGCUCCACCAUAAAAAUACAUACGGUUGAAGGAAAAGUUUAUCAUUCAAGUGAAAGAGAUUUUGGAAUAUUUUGAGGGCUAGGGUUUGUGCUCUAAGGAAGGAGAAGAGUACCCACUCUUACAGAACGGCUUAUUUGGCUUAUUGAGCUUCAGAAGCUUUUGGGUGAAAGACACUCAAGGAUCGAACAAAUUCCCCAAACUCGAUCUGGCCACUGCCAUUGACAUCAAAAAGAUCAAACAUCUGCAUGGAGUCAAAAUUUAAUGAAGAAGAUAAGAAUUCAUGACCAUGAUCGGCAAGCUUUAAAACAACACCUCUACAUGUCAGAUUGAUAGGUACUCACAUAUCACAUGGUUUAGUGAGUUAAGUGAGGGACUUAUUACAUAGUUAGAUAGUCAGUUAGUAGGUUAGUUAGGCUUGUGCCUAUAAAUAAGAGGGGGUUAGAGAACAUUAAUCAUCUUUUGUAUCAUUUGGGUAUUGGGAUUAGGAAGAGGGUGUGGACUCUCACUUGUAUUUUGCUCUAGUUCCCAAUUUGGGAAUUAGGGAUUUGUGAGAAAUAAUAACAGAUUUCAGGGUGGUUCUAUCA
Molecule: long non-coding RNA, 700 nt
Organism: Lotus japonicus
Lineage: Eukaryota; Viridiplantae; Streptophyta; Magnoliopsida; Fabales; Fabaceae
Exons: 2
Source: RefSeq, a predicted model, not a curated record